GCCUUCGUGGUGUAGUGGUCAGCACGCUCGACGCAUAACCGAGAGGUCCGUGGUUCGAUUCCCGGCGAAGGCG
Stegodyphus mimosarum is the source of this 73-nucleotide non-coding RNA. Lineage: Eukaryota; Metazoa; Arthropoda; Arachnida; Araneae; Eresidae. The record is from Rfam.